This is a long non-coding RNA of Myiozetetes cayanensis, 948 nucleotides long. RefSeq lists it as uncharacterized. Lineage: Eukaryota; Metazoa; Chordata; Aves; Passeriformes; Tyrannidae. The record is from RefSeq and is a predicted model, not a curated record. The transcript is spliced from 3 exons.
CAGAUGACAAUAUGUCUUGAAUACUUUGGGACAGAAUGAUGGAGAAGAUGAAAAAGCCAUUUUAGAAAUGCAUUUCUCAUUCCAAAUGUUUCACUUUGCCUUUCAAGGGUGUUUCAAGAACGUUUCUUUCAGUAAUGGCAAUAUGUAAUCCACAUAAGAGGUACUAGACAAAAUGCAUCCUUCCUGCCCUGCAAACAAUGACUACAGGUUUAAACUGGUUUUGGAAAUGUCCAGCUUUCUUAAACUGUGCAAACUAGGGCCUCUAGAAUAUGAAACUCCUCCUUGAGCGAAGACAGCAAGAUGCUGCUCACAACAGAGAACAGUUUACCAGUCCCUUGUGUUCUCCAGUGCAGACCAUGGUCUUCUUGCUGUAAGCAGUGAGAGUACAUGGUCCCCUCUGUGCACGCAGCCUGGGAGCCCAAUGUCUGCCUGCAGCACCCCAUGCACCACCUGUCCUCCACAGUCAGCCUGCAAGGCAAGCCAAAGGCAGAAGCUAUGGGUCUUUUCCUCAUUCAUUGAAGAUACACAGAGCAGCAGCCAAAAUGACGCACAAAAAUGACAGUUUACCAGCUGAAAGUACAGCAGGAGGUCAAUCAUUAGUGGAUUUACUAGUUUCAGAUCUCCAUCCUAUCUACCCAAAUAGCAACCUGUUUUAUUUUUUUUUUAGUUUUACUGUUUUAUCUAAAGAUAACAUACUAUGCUAUAACAAUGACUUGUGUAAUGAUGUGUGCAAACUUACAAAGAUGGAAGGACUUUGGAUUAGUGAAAAUCUCGUAUUUUUCAAAUAUAAUAUUUGCCUGAGUCACACUAAAACCAAUAUCUCAAGUUUCUCACAAGCUCAAGAGUACAAAUAAAUGUCUUUGGAAAACACGUUUUCUGUCCUCCCUUUAAAAGCAUCUUCUCUGAGUUUGCGGAUGCUGAAUAAAAUUGGUACUUGCAGUGCCAUCA